GACGAACGCUGGCGGCGUGCUUAACACAUGCAAGUCGAACGGAAAGGCCCUGCUUUUGUGGGGUGCUCGAGUGGCGAACGGGUGAGUAACACGUGAGUAACCUGCCCUUGACUUUGGGAUAACUUCAGGAAACUGGGGCUAAUACCGGAUAGGAGCUCCUGCAGCAUGGUGGGGGUUGGAAAGUUUCGGCGGUUGGGGAUGGACUCGCGGCUUACCAGCUUGUUGGUGGGGUAGUGGCUUACCAAGGCUUUGACGGGUAGCCGGCCUGAGAGGGUGACCGGCCACAUUGGGACUGAGAUACGGCCCAGACUCCUACGGGAGGCAGCGGUGGGGAAUAUUGCACAAUGGGCGGAAGCCUGAUGCAGCAACGCCGCGUGCGGGAUGACGGCCUUCGGGUUGUAAACCGCUUUCGCCUGUGACGAAGCGUGAGUGACGGUAAUGGGUAAAGAAGCACCGGCUAACUACGUG
Molecule: ribosomal RNA, 468 nt
Filed under: uncultured bacterium
Lineage: Bacteria
Description: partial 16S ribosomal RNA
Rfam family: Bacterial small subunit ribosomal RNA
Source: RNAcentral